RNAcentral lists this unclassified non-coding RNA (332 nucleotides) under soil metagenome. Its description in RNAcentral is "partial contains 5.8S ribosomal RNA, internal transcribed spacer 2, and large subunit ribosomal RNA". The stretch from base 1 to 120 matches the Rfam family "5.8S ribosomal RNA", at positions 35 to 154 of the family's 154-position model. The record is from RNAcentral.
GAUGAAGAACGUAGCAAAAUGCGAUAAGUAAUGUGAAUUGCAGAAUUCAGUGAAUCAUCGAAUCUUUGAACGCACAUUGCGCCCGCCAGUAUUCUGGCGGGCAUGCCUGUUCGAGCGUCAUUUCAACCCUCAAGCACAGCUUGGUGUUGGGACUCGCGUUAAUUCGCGUUCCCCAAAUUGAUUGGCGGUCACGUCGAGCUUCCAUAGCGUAGUAGUAAAACCCUCGUUACUGGUAAUCGUCGCGGCCACGCCGUUAAACCCCAACUUCUGAAUGUUGACCUCGGAUCAGGUAGGAAUACCCGAUGAACUUAAGCAUAUCAAUAAGCGGAGGA